RNAcentral lists this long non-coding RNA (662 nucleotides) under Felis catus (domestic cat). RNAcentral's name for it is "lncRNA (ENSFCAG00000044146.2)". Lineage: Eukaryota; Metazoa; Chordata; Mammalia; Carnivora; Felidae. The record is from RNAcentral.
CAUUAAAACAAGUGACCUCACUUCCUUCUUUCCAAUCUGAUUUCAGAAAUGAUAGUGUGUUCAUUGACCCUGCAAAAAGGUAGGCAAGCGAAGGGUGAAUAGCCAGCCUGCAUUUCCAACAGCCGAGAAGCAGUGCCGACAUUCAAGUACGGAGCGAAGUGCUCUUUCGCACGCAGGUUUACCGGAGCCUUCAACCUUGACCCGAAGGGAACACCUUUUCUGGAAGUGACAGUUCUCCUUCCUUGGCUUCAGCACAAAAUAAAAAACAAAAUUUCCACUGAAUUCAGGAGCAAAAAAACAUGGGAAAGAAAAGAAUUCUAGAAGUCAGACCUAUAAUGUAUCCCAGAUGUCAACUGGUACUGGAUGUCGUAAAAAUGGAUUCGUGGGUCUGCAGAGAAGACUAGAGUCAGAAGAGGAGGGAUCUACGGACAGAGCCCCACGUACGUCCAGCUUUUCACAGGUGGGUGGCAAAGCAUCUGGCAGGAGACAGUGAGCGUGAUCUCGACACAGAGGCGAGGAUGUGACUCUUGCUUAAACACCGAGAUGGCCCUCAUAACAUGGAAGCAUCUGUGACAGUCCCCGGCAAGUGAGAUGUUUCUGGAGAGGGUAAACUGUGCCCGUGGGUGUGGAGGAGGAGAAAGGGGUCCAAGGCUUAUCACGAG